Molecule: transfer RNA, 101 nt
Filed under: Promethearchaeota archaeon
Lineage: Archaea; Promethearchaeati; Promethearchaeota
Description: Candidatus Lokiarchaeota archaeon (permafrost metagenome) tRNA-Thr
Rfam family: tRNA
About the family: Transfer RNA (tRNA) molecules are approximately 80 nucleotides in length. Their secondary structure includes four short double-helical elements and three loops (D, anti-codon, and T loops). Further hydrogen bonds mediate the characteristic L-shaped molecular structure. tRNAs have two regions of fundamental functional importance: the anti-codon, which is responsible for specific mRNA codon recognition, and the 3' end, to which the tRNAs corresponding amino acid is attached (by aminoacyl-tRNA synthetases). tRNAs cope with the degeneracy of the genetic code in two manners: having more than one tRNA (with a specific anti-codon) for a particular amino acid; and 'wobble' base-pairing, i.e. permitting non-standard base-pairing at the 3rd anti-codon position.
Source: RNAcentral
GCCUCUGUGGCUUAGCGGUAUAGCAACGUUCUCAUCUUUUAAUAUGGGGAUGCUAAAGAUUCGUAAUCUGUAGAUCGGGGGUUCAAUUCCCCCCAGGGGCU